RNAcentral lists this small RNA (559 nucleotides) under Pyricularia oryzae. RNAcentral describes it as "Magnaporthe oryzae sRNA M_BR32_EuGene_00144611". Lineage: Eukaryota; Fungi; Ascomycota; Sordariomycetes; Magnaporthales; Pyriculariaceae. The record is from RNAcentral.
UUUUUUUUAUUUUGAUUUUACACGAUAAAAUAAUUAGUAAGUAAUUUUAAAAAAUAAUAUACUCGAAUUAAACCCCUAACCCUAGUUUUAUUUGUUUUUACUUUUAUAAUUUAUUUUAAUUUAUAUAUUGGUUUUUAUUUAUAUUUUUCCUUUUACUUUUAUAUUUUUUACCACUUUUACUUAAAUUCUUAUUCCUUUUAUUUUAUCCCGUUAAUAAAAUACUUUAUUAUUACCAAUUAGAACUAUAUUCAAAAAAGUUUUUCUUUCCUUUUUUUCUUUUUUAUUACUUUGUUUUUCCACCUAUUAUUUUUCUGCUAUUAUUUUAUAUAUUUAAAAUAAUUAGCAAAUAAAUUUGAGAUAAAAAUAAGUAUAAACCACGGAUUAAAAUCCUAAUUAAUAUAUCGAUUUACAGUACUUUUAUAUUUAAAAACCAUUGUGUUUUAUAUAUCGAAAAACCCCAUAUUUAAAAAAUUACGCCUUUUAUUAAUUUUUAAAUAAUAAGGCAGUUCCUACAUACGUACAAGACUUAUAUUUACUUAGGGAUAAUAAAAUAACAAUU